This 73-nucleotide transfer RNA is filed under the name Anneissia japonica. Its description in RNAcentral is "tRNA-Lys". It matches the Rfam family "tRNA". Rfam says of the family: Transfer RNA (tRNA) molecules are approximately 80 nucleotides in length. Their secondary structure includes four short double-helical elements and three loops (D, anti-codon, and T loops). Lineage: Eukaryota; Metazoa; Echinodermata; Crinoidea; Comatulida; Comatulidae. The record is from RNAcentral.
GCCCGGUUAGCUCAGUCGGUAGAGCAUCAGACUUUUAAUCUGAGGGUCAAGGAUUCAAAUCCCUUAUUGGGCG